Molecule: ribosomal RNA, 253 nt
Filed under: uncultured bacterium
Lineage: Bacteria
Description: partial 16S ribosomal RNA
Rfam family: Bacterial small subunit ribosomal RNA
Source: RNAcentral
UACGGAGGGGGCUAGCGUUGUUCGGAAUUACUGGGCGUAAAGCGUGCGUAGGCGGUUCGCUGUGUCCGAUGUGAAAGCCCCGGGCUUAACCUGGGAAUGGCAUUGGAAACUGGCGGGCUUGAGUGCGGCAGAGGGGGGUGGAAUUCCGCGUGUAGCAGUGAAAUGCGUAGAGAUGCGGAGGAACACCGAUGGCGAAGGGAGCCCCCUGGGUCGACACUGACGCUCAGGCACGAAAGCGUGGGGAGCAAACAGG